CCGUAUAUAGUUUAAUAAUAAAAAUGUAAUAUUAGGGUUAUUGAGAUUUUUUACUGG
This 57-nucleotide transfer RNA is filed under the name Ascaridia sp. GHL-2013. RNAcentral describes it as "tRNA-Pro". The record is from RNAcentral. Lineage: Eukaryota; Metazoa; Nematoda; Chromadorea; Rhabditida; Ascaridiidae.